UGAGGAAUUUUGCGCAAUGGGAGCAAUCCUGACGCAGCAACGCCGCGUGGGUGAUGAAGGCCUUCGGGUCGUAAAGCCCUGUCAGGUGGGAAGAAUGUCCCGUGAGCGAACAGUUUGCGGGAGUGACGGUACCACCAGAGGAAGCACCGGCUAACUCCGUGCCAGCAGCCGCGGUAAUACGGAGGGUGCAAGCGUUAUUCGGAAUUACUGGGCGUAAAGCGCGUGUAGGCGGUCCUGCAAGUCUGAUGUGAAAGCCCCGGGCGUAACCCGGGAAGUGCAUUGGAAACUGCAGGUCUUGAGUAAUGGAGAGGAUGGGGGAAUUCCCGGUGUAGAGGUGAAAUUCGUAGAGAUCGGGAGGAAUAUCAGUGGCGAAGGCGCCCAUCUGGACGGUAACUGACGCUGAGACGCGAAAGCGUGGGGAGCAAACA
This 428-nucleotide ribosomal RNA is filed under the name uncultured prokaryote. RNAcentral describes it as "bacterial SSU rRNA". It matches the Rfam family "Bacterial small subunit ribosomal RNA", at positions 355 to 774 of the family's 1533-position model. The record is from RNAcentral.